CCUACGGGAGGCAGCAGUGAGGGAUAUUGCGCAAUGGGCGAAAGCCUGACGCAGCGACGCCGCGUGGGCGAGGAAGGCCUUCGGGUUGUAAAGCCCUUUUGGCAGGGAAGAGCAAGGACUGUACCUGCAGAACAAGUCACGGCUAACUACGUGCCAGCAGCCGCGGUAAAACGUAGGUGGCGAGCGUUAUCCGGAAUCACUGGGCGUAAAGGGCGUGUAGGCGGUCCGGCCAGUCGAAGGUGUAAGCCCACGGCUCAACCGUGGAAGGGCCUUCGAUACUACCGGGCUAGAGUGCGGGAGAGGAGAGCGGAAUUCCCAGUGUAGCGGUGAAAUGCGUAGAUAUUGGGAGGAGCACCGGUGGCGAAGGCGGCCCUCUGGACCGCAACUGACGCUGAGGCGCGAAAGCGUGGGGAGCAAACAGGAUUAGAUCCCCUUGUAGU
This 440-nucleotide ribosomal RNA is filed under the name uncultured bacterium. RNAcentral describes it as "partial 16S ribosomal RNA". It matches the Rfam family "Bacterial small subunit ribosomal RNA", at positions 338 to 794 of the family's 1533-position model. The record is from RNAcentral.